UAUGGGAAAUGAAGACAAUUUGAAAAUUUCAUCAGAGGUAGAUACUAUGCUGAACUCUAUUGCACGUCAGUCUGAUCCCUAU
RNAcentral lists this small nucleolar RNA (82 nucleotides) under Cucumis sativus (cucumber). Its description in RNAcentral is "Small nucleolar RNA Z122". It matches the Rfam family "Small nucleolar RNA Z122". Rfam says of the family: Z122 is a member of the C/D class of snoRNA which contain the C (UGAUGA) and D (CUGA) box motifs. The record is from Rfam by way of RNAcentral. Lineage: Eukaryota; Viridiplantae; Streptophyta; Magnoliopsida; Cucurbitales; Cucurbitaceae.